RNAcentral lists this ribosomal RNA (324 nucleotides) under uncultured bacterium. RNAcentral's name for it is "bacterial SSU rRNA". It matches the Rfam family "Bacterial small subunit ribosomal RNA", at positions 28 to 346 of the family's 1533-position model. The record is from RNAcentral.
GACGAACGCUGGCGGCGUGGAUUAGGCAUGCAAGUCGGACGGUAGGGCUUUAUCGUAAGAUAGAGUUUGAGAGUGGCGAACGGGUGAGUAACACGUAGGAAUCUACCCUUAAGACGGGGACAACCCAGGGAAACUUGGGCUAAUACCGGAUGAGAGUGCGAGAGAUUGCAUUUAAAAGGAUGGCGAAAGUUGUCGCUUAGGGAUGAGCCUGCGGUCUAUUAGUUAGUUGGUGAGGUAAGAGCUCACCAAGGCGAUGAUAGAUAGGCGGCCUUAACGGGUGGUCGCCCACACUGGGAUUGAGAUACGGCCCAGACUCCUACGGGG